Molecule: ribosomal RNA, 467 nt
Filed under: uncultured Klebsiella sp.
Lineage: Bacteria; Pseudomonadati; Pseudomonadota; Gammaproteobacteria; Enterobacterales; Enterobacteriaceae
Description: bacterial SSU rRNA
Rfam family: Bacterial small subunit ribosomal RNA
Source: RNAcentral
CCUACGGGAGGCUGCAGCAGUGGGGAAUAUUGCGCAAUGGGCGCAAGCCUGAUGCAGCCAUGCCGCGUGUGUGAAGAAGGCCUUCGGGUUGUAAAGCACUUUCAGCGGGGAGGAAGGCGGUGAGGUUAAUAACCUCAUCGAUUGACGUUACCCGCAGAAGAAGCACCGGCUAACUCCGUGCCAGCAGCCGCGGUAAUACGGAGGGUGCAAGCGUUAAUCGGAAUUACUGGGCGUAAAGCGCACGCAGGCGGUCUGUCAAGUCGGAUGGGAAAUCCCCGGGCUCAACCUGGGAACUGCAUUCGAAACUGGCAGGCUAGAGUCUUGUAGAGGGGGGUAGAAUUCCAGGUGUAGCGGUGAAAUGCGUAGAGAUCUGGAGGAAUACCGGUGGCGAAGGCGGCCCCCUGGACAAAGACUGACGCUCAGGUGCGAAAGCGUGGGGAGCAAACAGGAUUAGAUACCCGAUAGUC